AUUUGACCAUCUUGUGUGUUUACGGAGAAGACCAAAAGCUGCUAAGGCAGAUAUUUCCAGAGGUACAAACAGAGCGGAUGGUUGCAUGAUGGCCUCUUUCAGGUUUGUCAACUGAAUGUCUACUAGUGUGGCUCAGCAAGUUCCUGUCAUGAUCAGCCCUCUCCAAGAAAGCUGAAGAGCAAAAACACAAAGAACAUCAGUCCUGUUGGGGAUGAGGAAUGAACAUGGCUCUAUUGUGCCCAAACAGAAAAGAGUGAAAAGACUAAAGAGAAGCGGGUCUGAGGCCAGAGAUGGAGGAGUCAAUGGUCACCAAAUGCAGCGCUGCAGCCUGAAACUGUGAAGACUGAAUUCCCAAACAGCUGUGUGACUGCACAGAUGUUACGGCCAUAAAAGAAACUUCACAACUGAGAGCCCAUACCUCCAACAAGCUUCAACAGGAAUCAAUGGACAUCUACGCAAGGUUUUUCUUUUGUUGAGGACCGUCAGAGACUCCAGCCACACGAGCCAUGGAUUGCUCUCAACAUCACCAUCAGACAGACAUUAUCACAGAACCAGCACCAGCAGACUGCAAAACAAGUUCCUUCAACAGGCAAUCAGACUGAACUGAACUCGUACCAGUAACACCACACACACACACACACACACAUACACACACCAGCAGCCUCAUACUGUGUGCACUGC
Carassius auratus (goldfish) is the source of this 681-nucleotide long non-coding RNA. RefSeq lists it as uncharacterized. The record is from RefSeq and is a predicted model, not a curated record. Lineage: Eukaryota; Metazoa; Chordata; Actinopteri; Cypriniformes; Cyprinidae. The transcript has 5 exons.